GGGGAUGACGUCAAGUCCUCAUGGCCCUUAUGGGUAGGGCUUCACACGUCAUACAAUGGUCGGUACAGAGGGUUGCCAAGCCGCGAGGCGGAGCCAAUCCCACAAAGCCGAUCGUAGUCCGGAUUGUUCUCUGCAACUCGAGAGCAUGAAGUCGGAAUCGCUAGUAAUCGCAGGUCAGCAUACUGCGGUGAAUACGUUCCCGGGUCUU
This 208-nucleotide ribosomal RNA is filed under the name uncultured Thiobacillus sp. RNAcentral's name for it is "partial 16S ribosomal RNA". It matches the Rfam family "Bacterial small subunit ribosomal RNA", at positions 1175 to 1382 of the family's 1533-position model. The record is from RNAcentral. Lineage: Bacteria; Pseudomonadati; Pseudomonadota; Betaproteobacteria; Nitrosomonadales; Thiobacillaceae.